Molecule: long non-coding RNA, 758 nt
Organism: Canis lupus familiaris (dog)
Lineage: Eukaryota; Metazoa; Chordata; Mammalia; Carnivora; Canidae
Exons: 2
Source: RefSeq, a predicted model, not a curated record
GAUGACACAGGAUGCCCUCUGGAAAACUGGAGAGCCUGGCCCCUGGAGGACCCCCUCCAAAGCUGGGCCCUGGCAGGGUAGGAGGGCAGGCCUCUUGAGCAAAACCACUGAACACGGAGAGCCCCACUCCCCGAUCAGGUUAGUGCCAGAGCAGAGCAGGCCAGCUGACCAGUACAGUUCAGAGGCACCAGGCCAGGGAAGCAAGACCACGCAUGAGGACAGGUUCAGAACCAGAGGCUGAGAGUGGUAGGAAGGGAGAAGAUCAGGAAAGAGGCCCAGAGCAGCUCUCUGGCAGGGGCCAGAGUUGUGAGCCCAGCCGGCAGACCCUGCCCACCAGGAGCUUACAGACAGACAACCACGUUGGCAGACAGACAACCAUGGAAACAAAGUGGGAGCUGGGGCAGAGAAUAACUGGGUGCGGGGCUUGCUGGGAGGACCUGCUUUCCAGCGAGAGGUUAGGAAGGGACAUGGGAGCUGAGGCCUGAACGCCACGUUGGAGAUAACCAGGCAGAGGACGAAGAGAGAGGUGGCCGGACAGACAACCAUAAAGACAGUGCCUCAGGACCAGCAAGCUCCAGCUCUACCGAGAGACGGAAACCCCAAGGAGCCCCCCAUCACAUAGAACGGGCAUCCACCUGCUUCCCGAGUGAUCAAGUCCCCCAUGGAGAGAUGUUUUCCUCUUCAGCACAAACCCCAUCAAACACCCAUCCCUUGCCAGCUGUCACAAAUAAAUGCACUUGCAGAGACUCCUCUAUUCA